CAGUGUGGUGCUAUUUCCAGUGGUAUCAUAAGUGGGAUCUAUAGCCAUGUUGGAUAUGGUAGGACUCUUGGCAGUGAGAGGGUUAAGAAUCAGCACUUCACCAUUUCUUCAAUGAACUCAUGCUUGGCUCUUCCCCAUGCAUAUAGAAUGCAGCUCACAUAGAGAGUGAGCGCAUGCUGUUGUGAUCUCAUCCUGUAGUGGGACAUUACUUUGUUGGCUCCCACACUUGAAGCAAUUUGAAUUUCUCAGCAGCUAUACAUCACCAAUUUUGACAGAAUUUGCAGGUUUGUUCUUCACUCCAGGUCUAAUGGAUGAAAUGAAACUUGGUGAGCUCCCAGAAUUGGACAACCUUCAGAAUGCUGAGACAGACCAAAUGAAGGAAGAGGAAAAGUUCUCUGAGACUCAGCGCUCCCAGCACCUGUGGCAGGGUCCCAUUGUUUCAGUGAAAAGCCACUGGACUUAGCGAACCACUAAGUGGUCUCUGUGAUGACAAAAGCUUCUGAGAUCCCAGAAUCUUUUGUUCACCCCUCGUUUUUUCCAGCCAAAGAAGAUGGUUGCCUAACCUGUGGUUGCCUGUUUUAUUCACCGCUAUAUGUAUCACCCAACAUAUAGAAGCCUCCCUGGGCCACAAGAGGCACUUAAAAAUAUUUAUUAAAGGAAAGAUAAAUGAUGGAAAUAAGAAACACCAAAGUGAGGAAAAAGGAUCUAACAGUGGAACAUUAUGUGCGCACUGUCUUUGGACAAAAUAUUCUCUAUACAAAGUCAUAUGGCAAAUCUAAACAUAUCCCAGUGGAACUUUGGGGAUUCUGUUUUCUCCAGUGUGAUGAUAAGUGAUGCAAGAGAUUCCCCAAAGUAACAUACAAAGACAAUAUUAAGAAGACUCUCAAACUCAAAUAUUAUUUGAAAUAUCUAGAGAAUUUAUGGAAGAUUCUAUGUAACAUUUUUCUAAAAUAUUUUUGGAUAAAAUUCCUCUUCUCAAAACUAACUGAGUAUAUUGUGUUAUUUCAUACCUUUGCUCUUACUGAGUACUCUGUCUAGAAUGUCUUUGCAUCCUGUAUCAGAUGAAAUGGCAUCCUCCAAGGUUCAGUGGAAAUAGAACUAAACCCCUUCUCUAAAGCCUUUUCUAAUUCUCCUGGUAGGAGUAAAUUCUCCUUCUUCUGAAUUUCCUUCACAUCUUUAUUUAUCAAUCUAACGACCUCUAGACAUUUUCAACAUAUUUAACAGCUAUGUGAUUUACACAAAAAACUUUUGGAAGGUAGUGGGUAAUAUCUCUUUGCAUCCUCCAUCUUAACCGGGUGAAUGUUUUGCACACACCAGGCUGUCAAUCUAUGCAUGGUGAAUACUAAUUGAAUAAUAUCUCUCUUUUUUUCACAGAAGGAGCAGCUCAAAAAUUACACAGUUUGGCAGCAGAGCUUUUUUUUUUUUUUUUCCUCCAAUUCUAGCCAGUCUGUCUCCUUUAUAAAAUAAAAGGCUGGAGAUUCAGGCUAUCUAAAAAAGAAGAAAAAAAGCAGGGGGGACUAUUAAUGGCAGCUAUAAACCAGCUGCUACACCUUUUAAGCUCCAAGAAUUCAGCAUAAUCUGAUUUCCCAGGAAUCUCAGAGCUGUUGAAUGUUUGAUUCCACACUAAAAUUCUGAACAUCAGCACUAAGAGGCUAAUUAGUUAACCAAUCAUUAAGGUUCCUACUUCUCUCUAUGUUCUGCUUAGCUGUUAGAUAAAAGGUGGCAACAGAGAAGCUAAAACUAAAGCUCUGGUCAAAGAAAAUAUAGAGAAGGGGAGUGAAUAAAGA
This is a long non-coding RNA of Canis lupus familiaris (dog), 1787 nucleotides long. RefSeq lists it as uncharacterized. Lineage: Eukaryota; Metazoa; Chordata; Mammalia; Carnivora; Canidae. The record is from RefSeq and is a predicted model, not a curated record. The transcript is spliced from 3 exons.